RNAcentral lists this long non-coding RNA (1427 nucleotides) under Athene cunicularia (burrowing owl). Its description in RNAcentral is "lncRNA (ENSACUG00000000139.1)". The record is from RNAcentral. Lineage: Eukaryota; Metazoa; Chordata; Aves; Strigiformes; Strigidae.
GUACAGGAGGGGAAAUCACUUACCAGAGAACUCUGUGUUUGCACCCCUCAGUGAUGAUGAGUCUGUGAAAGAAUCAGCCUGGAGACAGAACCAGCUCUUUGGAUUUAAAGAGAUGUGGAGUCAGCAGUCGGUCUCCCUGUUACUCGCCAAGGCAGACAGAGUCCCAACAGGUCUGAAGAGGAAGAUGCAGCCAAAAAGAAGGAAUAUCUGAACAAUCAGUCCUUGAAGAUCAGUGAUGUCAACCUAGUCUCAGGCUCAGCAAGCACAGAGCGCCCCAAGACCUCUCACACCAGACCUCUCCAGCCCAGAAGUACUUUGACUAGAGAAGAAGCAAACCCUCUUCAGGAGAAAAGGUCUGUUUUAUGUGCCACAGAGGAGGAAAGUAAAAACCAGCCCGCCCCAUCUGAGGGCAGCUCCUUACACCAAGCCCUCAAAAGAGGGCAUGCCACUCGCAGUACCCGCCGUGAUGUUUGGUCGCAGACUGAGAGCUCUGUCCCAGAAGCAGAGAAGGUGGAUGUCGCCACCCAGUGUGGCAGGAUGCGGGUGUGCAGCUGUGGGGGCUCCCGCCCCUCUGUUCGCAGCCCGGGGGGGAUCCCCCCUCCCAGCACUGCGAGCACCGCUGGAGGGCACAAAAUGCCGGCCCGUGAGGGGCUGCAGCCUGCGGGCACGGGCAGCGCCGCCGCAACAGCGGCAUCAGCUGAACCCGAGUAUCUGAGCUUGGUUGGCAGGAGGACUCUAGAGGUGCUGAACUUUGUUGAAAUAAUAAAGGAGAGAGAUAAGCACUGACCAGCUAGAAUGGCUUGUAAGUAAUAGAGAAGUUUUGUCCUGUUCUCAGUGUGUUUCAUUUAAUUGGAAUAUCUUGAGUUUUUUCUAGCCUGGUUAGACAAAAUAUUUGUUUGCUGUUUGUUUGCUUUACAUUAGUAUUAACUAUAGAUCUCUAUCUACCGACUGCUACCUAUAAGUAUGGAUUUCUAUAGAUCUCUAACAGUUAACACAGGAUUUUACAAUAGCCUGGUAAAUGUAAACCUUAAGAAUUAGAUUGGCUUCCCCACCAUAUAUCCACAGGAUUCUGUAGGUUGGGAUUGACUUUGCUUCUCUUGAAGGGAGUGGAUAGAUUCUGUUUCACUUCAAAACAUACUUGAUGUGGCUCUUAGUUCAGAACUGUUGUCUGAUUCUUAUCCAUUUUAACAGACAAGCUACCCACUGCUGUAUGUUUGUUCUAAGUACAAAAAUGGGAAACAACAGAAAAUCUACAACUGCAAACAUAGAAUGUAACUUUAAAAGAACUAACUUAAUACUUUUUACAAAACUAGCGCUUAAUUUUCCUUCCAUAGCAGUUCUACUGAUUCAUUCUGUGGCUGUUAACACUGACGAAUCUUUUAUGUGUUUGUAUUUUGCCUGCAGACUGAAAAUCUGAAAUGCUUUCC